This 73-nucleotide transfer RNA is filed under the name Candidatus Sericytochromatia bacterium. RNAcentral describes it as "tRNA-Lys". It matches the Rfam family "tRNA". Rfam says of the family: Transfer RNA (tRNA) molecules are approximately 80 nucleotides in length. Their secondary structure includes four short double-helical elements and three loops (D, anti-codon, and T loops). Lineage: Bacteria; Bacillati; Candidatus Sericytochromatia. The record is from RNAcentral.
GAGACAGUAGCUCAGUUGGUAGAGCAGCUGGCUUUUAACCAGCGGGUCCUGGGUUCGAGUCCCAGCUGUCUCA